This 253-nucleotide ribosomal RNA is filed under the name uncultured bacterium. RNAcentral's name for it is "partial 16S ribosomal RNA". It matches the Rfam family "Bacterial small subunit ribosomal RNA", at positions 524 to 776 of the family's 1533-position model. The record is from RNAcentral.
UACAGAGGUCUCAAGCGUUGUUCGGAUUCAUUGGGCGUAAAGGGUGCGUAGGUGGCGCCGUAAGUCGGGUGUGAAAUCUCCAAGCUUAACUUGGAAAUGGCAUUGGAAACUACCUUGCUUGAGGGUCGGAGGGGGGACUGGAAUACUUGGUGUAGCAGUGAAAUGCGUAGAUAUCAAGUGGAACACCAGUGGCGAAGGCGAGUCCCUGGACGACUCCUGACACUGAGGCACGAAAGCUAGGGGAGCAAACAGG